UGCAGUUAUUUAGAAUCUUCUGCUGCUCCAUAAGGUAAAAAGAUACUAUUGAGUACAGCUGCAAUUCUAUUUAACUGAUUAGAGUUUAAUGGUUGAAUUUGUGAUAUGAUUGGCUGAUACCCUUUGAUCUCUUUGACACCCCCUGAUAAUGUGAUUACUAUUGGAGAGCUAAUUAAUCUUUUAAUUAGUGUUACUGCUAUCACUUGUUUAUAACAUAUGUUUGAUAAUAUACCACAUGUUUUUUCACUUAUUUAAAUAUUGUAUACACCUAUAUAUUGUGUUUUUGUAUGUGCUACAUUAGCUUGAAAAAAGCCCUGUUGGGGCUGAAACGUUGCUUUGUAGUUCCUGGUCCAAAUAAAUUGCCUUAAGAAUUGGAAACUAUUGGAGUGCCUUAAUCAUUUUCUACAUGUUUACUGUUACUUGUCUGAUUUAUUCUGUAUUCUGUGUAAUUAUUCAUUGAUAUUUAAGAUAGCUUUAUUAGCUGAUAUAUCUUUCUACAGUUUGAAGAUUGUUUUAUUAGGUAAACUGAUGUAUAGGUUGUAUUCUCUCAUUGUGUGUUAUUCCACUUUGAACAAAGGUUGCUAUAUUUGUAUUUUAUAGGUAUUUAUCCUGCUGUUCUUGUUAGCAUGUCCCCACUGCUGUUCUGCCAAUACUUGUUUCCCCUUUUUACUUGCUUUUCACAACCCUAUUUGAGGUCUCUCUCUUCUCUCCUGGAGCCUGGGACUGUCCUGGACCCUUGCCCCUCGCGAGGAUCGCGGCCGUCAAACUUUCUACGUAACUAAAAUGUUCUAUUCCUUUUAUCAAUUUUGUCGCUUGUCUCUGCACUUUUUCUAGUGCCAUGAUAGCCUUCUUUAGAACAGGCGCCCAAAAUUGCACAGCAUAUUCAAGGUGUGGUCUUACCACCGAUUUAUAAAGAGUCAAAAUUAUAUUUUCAUCCUGAGAAUUUAUGCCCCUAUUUAUACAUGACAAAACCUUACUGGCCUAAGCAACUGCAGAUUGACAUUGCAUAUUGCUGCCUAUCUUGUUGUCUGUAACAAUUCCCAAUUCCUUCUUGUGUGUGGUUAUCCCUAAUUCAUUUAGGGUGUAAGUUACUUGUGCAUUCUUGACCCUGAAGUGCAUAACUUCUAUAUUAAAUUUCACCUGCCAUUUUAGUGCCCAGUUCCCCAAUCUAUCCAAAUCCCUCUGCAGCAAAGCAAUAUCCUGCUCACAUUUUAUUACUUUACAAAGUUGUGUGUCAUCUGCAAACACUGAAACAUGGCUUUCAAUGCGUAUUUUAACACCAUUUAUUAAUAUGUUAAAUAGAAGCGGUCCCAAAACAGAACCCUGAGGAACACCACUUACCACUUUGGUCCAGCCUGAAAAUUUACCAUUAAUGACAACUCGUUGUACUCUAUCCUUAAGCAAAUGUUCUACCCAAGAACAAGAAUAUUCACCUAGACCAUUUUUUUUUUUUAGUUUGAAGACUAACCUAAUGACCUAUGUUUCAUAAAACCAUGUUGAUUAUUGUUAAUAACAAGGUUCUUCCCAAUGAAUUCCUGAAUAUUAUCCCGUAAUAGCCUUAAUACCCAUGUUCGAUCCACGCACUAUACGACACCCCAGGUUGUCGGUAUGGACACUGCCAGAUCAUCUGGCACAAUUCGUCCAUUUUUUGCUCCGAAAGCCACUGGACAAGGAAGUGCAGGCACCCCUAUAAACGUAAUGCCCCCACCCCUCCUCCUGCCAGACAAGGUGGCUAUCACUCCGGAGUUUGACACCACGGUCGUGGUUUUCAUGUCCCGGGCUGGCAGAGAACCCAAGAAGGGCAUCGAGAAGGAGCUUAAGUCAGCACAAGACAAGCUGUUGGAUCUACUAGGCCCAUUGGCUAAGAUACUAUUCUUUGUGGAUCUGGCCCUCUCACAGGGCACAUAGUUGGACCCAAGUGACUUCCGCGAAUGGGCCCAGUGCUCUAUCUGCAUGCUGGGUAAUGCCAAUUCGACCCUCUGUACAGAGAGACACAAGACAGCACUGUUGAGGAUGGACUCAGAACUCUUAGAAUUGGGCUCCAAAGAACUGGGACCCUUGGCAAAGGAACUCCUAUUCAUUGAGCCUUUUAGCGACAGGUCAGCCUGUUCACAAUGCUGACCAAAGCCCAACCUUCUCUCAAGCACGGCUUCAGACCACCACCUGGCAGGGGUGUUUUUGAAGGGGCUUGUCGGCAGAGGGGCCGAGCCACCAGCCGAUUUUGGUCCACUGGACCCAGGUCCUAUUCACAAUCGCAUGUUCACAAGAACAAUGACUCAUCAUAGAUGAAGAGAUUUGCUUUCUAUUUGCAGUACAAUUCGCCACAGAUGAUUGGGGCUUCUACAGAAACAUCUUCCUGGUCCAAAAAAGUCGGGAGACUUUCGGCCAGUCAUCAACUUCUGCCGGCUCAACGGCUAUGUCGUCUAUUGACAUUUCAUUAUGGAAUGUAUACAUCUACUCCAGGAUCUCCUGAUGGCCAAUGAUUGGCUCACCCGUCUCGAUCUCAAGGACGCUUAUCGUUCGGUACCUGUGGCGUCUACGAGUCUUUGCUUUCUAAGGUUCGUGUGGGGUCAUCAGUCGUGUCAAUUUGCGUACCUGCCUUUCGGCCUCAGUUCAGCUCCUUGGUGCCUCCUGAAGCUACUGAAGCUGGUCAUGGCCCAUUUCCAAUCCAGGGGCAUCUGUUGCCGUGUCUACCUGGACGACAUGCUGAUCUUCUGCAACGCAGAAUCCAGACUGAGCUCACAGACGUACUUUGUCGUUCACUUUCUGGAGUCUUUGGGCUUCGUGGUGAACAGACAAAAGUCAGCUGUUUCCCCUUCACCGGUCAUGCAGUCUCUCGGUUUUCAGAUAGACAUGAGGGAUUGCGUCCUCUGACUACCUGCCACGAAGAUUGCAUCCAUUCGAAAGGAGAUUCAGCAGAUUAUUCGCACGUAUACGGCUCGUCUGUGACUCAUCGCCCAGUUAGUGGGCCUUCUUCCUCCUCGACAAUAUUUCCGGGGCCUCUGCACUACAGAGCUCUGCAGCAACUGAAGACAAAACAUUUGCGUCUGGUUCACUCAUACGACCAUUGAAUAUGCCUAUUGGGAGAGGUGCAGACAGAACUUCGUUGGUGGCUACUCCACAUGCAAGCCUGGAAUGGCUGCUAGAUUUGGACCAACACCAGAAGGGACUUUCUGACUGUGGCAUUCUGCUCUGCAUGGACAACUUCCCGGUGGUCCAAUAAUUCGACCGCCUGAGCGGAGGCAGAUCCCGAUCCUUGACGGAGGUGGUAAAAGACAUAUACAUAUUUUGCCUUGCUCGCAAUAUCAUGUAGAAUACCUCCCGGGGAUCACAAAACUCACUGCAGACUGGUCUCCACGCCACUGGCGAGACAACAGCGACUGGCGCCUAGAUGUCUCAACUUUCCGCACACUGAUGGACCUUAGUGGUCCACUACAGGUUGUCCUGUUUGCAUCCAAAAUGAACCAACAACUCCCGAGGUUCUUCAGCUGGCUGCCGGAUCCGUUUUGCAAAGCAGUGGACGUUUUCCUGCAAAUUUGGCCGGAUGAAGGAGCCUAAGCAUUCCCACUGUUCUCAAUGCUGACCUAGGUGGUCCACUACAUACGCCUUCACAGAGUGUUUCUCCUAAUCACUCCCCCCGCGCAGAGUCAAGUGUGGUUCCCGGACUUUCUUAAACUCCUUCAGACACGUUUCGGAUGUUCGGGUCUUCAACGUGGAAGUUUUUUCCUUUUUCCCGGAUGGCGUUUCCUUUGUUUUACAUGGCGGACGGGAUCGGAUUCUCCCUCCAUUUCGUAUCCGUUUUUUUCUAUAAAUCCCCGACUGUGCAUUGUGGACACGCUUUUACAGUGUUAUGGACGUUUCCACGGCUACGGUUUGGAUUUCUUGACUGUGGGUAUGCUUGAUUACAAUUGUAUGAUGUUUGGACUUUCGGACAUUUGAACUUUACCUUUAUUAGUUCGCUACAAAGAAAGAGGAAGUGAUGUGUGUGACUGGACCUUUUAUAUAACAUUGACGUGUUUUUUUGAUUGGUUGUUCUCUUAUGAUCUGUGCUGCUGGGAGUUUCAUUAAAGAGAGUUAUGCAAAUAUUCUCCUCCUGUCAUUACUAAAAUUAAGAUUAUAGGUACACUACGUUAGCAUAAUCUACAAUUCAGCUAUUUUUCCUUUAGUGAAACGCGCUGACCUUGGGGGGGGAAGCAGUCAUACUGUCACUGUCUCUCCAGCAUUUCACAUUGAAAUUGAAUUAAUGGUGGGAGCUGCACAUAGCAACUCCCAGCCUUGAGUGUAACUCUCACUAAUCUUGCCAAGACUGGAGCAUGUAUGUAAGUCAGGGGCCAUGAAACGCACAGUCGUAGAACCAGUCAUGCUGUUAUAUAUUGUAUUUUACUACAUGAUGUGAUGUCACCUUCCGUGCGCGAUUAGACAAUAUUAUCUAACCAAUGAAAUAAUGAUCAGAUUAUGUAAAAAGUCAACCAAAAACAAAACACUUUACAAACUGUCUCCCUCUAUAUAUAUAUUCCUUGGCUUCGAAGUUAGUUUGCUUAGUAACUUACAAUCACGACACAUAUUGAACAAUUUAUGAUUCUAAACAAGCACUCCCACGAAAUGUUUACUGACAAAAUAUGCAUCUGCGUAUCUAUAUAAAAACGAUUUAAUAUGCUAUGUAAAUACGAAGCCUUUUUAACCUUUAAAACAUUUUUCAACAGCAGAAAUUUAAUUGUUUCAAUGUGACAUUUGGAAACUGUUUAGUAAAUUCCGAUUUCAAUAAAUGUGCAAUGUGUGUAAGCUGUUAUGAUAAAGUUAUUCUUGGAAGGUGCUUUUAGUAAAUAUAAUAAAUAAGACAACGUAAUAAGUGUAAGCAGUGCGUGAGGAAGACAGGGGCCCCAGUGAAACUGACAAAUUUCAAACAUAUCCACUUAUAAAAGCAGCUGAAAAGCUUAACAUUAUAUAAUGUUAGUUUAUGGAUGAGUAAAUUAGGGAAUUUGAUCCACCCUUGGGGUGCAAGGAUAUUAGCAGGGUCAUAAUGCCCAGAACUGCCUCUACGUUAGAUCUUUCUUUGGUAUAGAGAGUUAGAUAAAAUUAAUUCACCCUGACUCACAUUAUUUAAGGGGGGCACUAUGUACCAUAAGUACUACAGAUCAUUUUUAUGGUUUUGCCGCAAAGAGUUUUUGGUUACAGUUUCCCAACUUUUGUUAGCCUGUUUUCAAAUAGUUUGAAACAAACAAACAUGGAUGGCCAAGAAACUAAACCCUCUCUCUGCCAAUCAGAUAAUACAGGCAUGAAUUACUCACUAUGCAUUCAAACGUGGAUGGUAGUUAAAAGCUGCGAGCAUAGAGGAUAUCAGAACUUGUAGUCUAUUGUUGUCACCAAAGAAUUUUUGGAUAAUGGAGAUGUUCAGUAUAUAACAACUCAGGAUUGGAAACUCUGGGUAGUUAGACAGAAGUCGUAGGUGUAACAAAUAUAGGUUCUUGAGGAGAGCAAGGGAAGUUGCUAGGAAUGAAGAUGGCGUUUCUCCAUAAAAGUUUUCUUCAGGAAAUUACAAUCCAGCUCUAAAAAUCUUAAAAAGAAGCCAACUAACCAUUUCCCCAGAAUGGCAAUCUCCAUACUGUGAGAUUAAAUUAAAAAAACACCCAGCAAACUAAUUAUGCAUAAUAGGCCACCCAGACUGUCAGCUAAGAAUGGUUUAUAUCCUGGCACCCAGACAAUAUUAAGAAAUUUGCUCACACCAAAGUACAAUCACUGUAAAUACAGCGUGGCUAAUCUCGAUUGGCGUGUCUGCAUUAAUUGAAUGGUUGUAGAAAUUCUUCCCAGUUGGCAGCAGAAAUAGCACUAGCCAAGUAUCCUCUUAGUUCCGUGUCUAUAACAUGUUGUGCUGUUUUUUUCCCAGCAGAUUGUUUUUUGAAUUAUAUUACUGAGCAUAUACAGACCAGAGUCGUUUAUCUAUUUCCAUACUUCUUAUCAGCUUUUUGGAUUUAGGAUGACAAUUCUUGCGACUGGUGGAACGUGGCAGUUGGAGAGUGUGCAGGCCUGGAAUUUCUUGGAAUUAUUUGCCAUGUCCAUAGCUUCUGAGAAUUAACUGUAAACUGGCCAAAACCUGGAGAUUGCUUCACUUCCUUGCUGAAAUGUUUGUGGCCUGAAGCCUGGAACUCCGCCACUCAGAUGUGACCGAGGUAGCAUGUUAAUGAAGACUGCUCUUCAAUUUAUCGGUUUCCAUAAAUUUCCAAUAAAUUUAUAUUUUACGAUUGUUAUCCGAGAUCUAAAUGUAAAAUGUUGUAGUCUGUUACCUUUCCUUGUGUUAUCUCUCUGGAAGCAUUCAUCACAACCAACUUUCCUGAAGUAUUUUUUGCAGCAAAUUUAUUCAACUCCUUG
Molecule: long non-coding RNA, 6366 nt
Filed under: Pelobates cultripes (western spadefoot toad)
Lineage: Eukaryota; Metazoa; Chordata; Amphibia; Anura; Pelobatidae
Source: RNAcentral